This 73-nucleotide ribosomal RNA is filed under the name Caerostris darwini. Lineage: Eukaryota; Metazoa; Arthropoda; Arachnida; Araneae; Araneidae. The record is from RNAcentral.
ACACCGAAGUCAAGCAUCAUUGGGCGCGGUGAGUACUUGGGUAGGUGACCACCUGGGAACACCGCGUGCCGUU